RNAcentral lists this transfer RNA (85 nucleotides) under Rickettsiales bacterium. RNAcentral's name for it is "tRNA-Leu". It matches the Rfam family "tRNA". Rfam says of the family: Transfer RNA (tRNA) molecules are approximately 80 nucleotides in length. Their secondary structure includes four short double-helical elements and three loops (D, anti-codon, and T loops). The record is from RNAcentral. Lineage: Bacteria; Pseudomonadati; Pseudomonadota; Alphaproteobacteria; Rickettsiales.
GCCUCUAUGGUGGAAUUGGUAGACACGAUAGACUCAAAAUCUAUUGCUGCAAAGCAUCUCGGUUCAAGUCCGAGUGGAGGUACCA